CCCUCGGGGCGCAGCAGUGGGGAAUAUUGCACAAUGGGGGAAACCCUGAUGCAGCGACGCCGCGUGAGUGAAGAAGUAAUUCGUUAUGUAAAGCUCUAUCAGCAGGGAAGAAAAUGACGGUACCUGAGUAAGAAGCCCCGGCUAACUACGUGCCAGCAGCCGCGGUAAUACGUAGGGGGCAAGCGUUAUCCGGAAUCACUGGGUGUAAAGGGAGCGUAGACGGCUGUGCAAGCCUGAAGUGAAAGGCGGGUGCCCAACCCCCGGACUGCUUUGGAAACUGUAUGGCUGGAGUGCAGGAGAGGUAA
Molecule: ribosomal RNA, 305 nt
Filed under: uncultured bacterium
Lineage: Bacteria
Description: bacterial SSU rRNA
Rfam family: Bacterial small subunit ribosomal RNA
Source: RNAcentral